RNAcentral lists this long non-coding RNA (8190 nucleotides) under Linum usitatissimum (flax). RNAcentral's name for it is "long non-coding RNA (LUSI_LNC004884)". The record is from RNAcentral. Lineage: Eukaryota; Viridiplantae; Streptophyta; Magnoliopsida; Malpighiales; Linaceae.
CAUAACGAAAAACAUAAGCAGAACUGCAGAACUCCAACAACUGCAUCCAUGAUCCACCAUAAAUCCUUAAUUCAUUGAGCACAAUUGAAACUUGAAGACAGCUAAUCCAUCAGCAGACAGUAUUGUACAAUACAAGUUUCAGUUUCAAACUGCAAGCUCAAUGGAUAAUUUUUUAACUACUAAUUCAAAUAUAUUUGACAUGUUUCAUAUCAUAAUUGUAAUCGAGUUUCAGAUUUCCAGUAAAUCAAUCGUCCAGUGCAAAAGGUGACUUAAUGAACACCGUAGUUGCACCUGAAAUGAGCAAACAAAACAUAAGACAUAUACGUACACUCCACAUCAGUCUCAUGUACAUCAUAAUUAAUAAGUUAGUACUUGUGAAUGGUAAUAGUUUUAGUGUCUUACCCCCACUUGCUGGAUCCUAAGUAGAUGAGUCUUCAAGUGUCAAUGCAGAGAAAACCUCCCCCAUUGAAUACAUUCCAACUUCAGCAUCUGCAAAACAAAGGUAAAUCAGAAUUAUAAGGCAGACUUACUUAUAAAGGACAGAACAAAUAAUUAUUAUUUGAGAGCUUUACCUGGUUGAAUGUCUUCCAUGAUCCAGCUCCUUGUGCACAUCAUCGCUUCAGCGGUAGAAUAGUGCAGCCUGCUCCAGUAGGGGUCUAACAAUCUUCCACCUGAACUGAAAGCACUUUCAGAUGCAACCGAAGAGACAGGAAUUGCAAGAAAGUCCAUUGCAAUUGAUUGCAAAGUUGGAUAUUUUAAACCCAUUAAACCUCCACCACUGAAGCAGAUCUAGUGCUGGUUCGUCAGGAUGAGGCUUAGGAACUAAUGUUUCAGCCAGGUAGUGGUCCAGUUCAGUAGUAACCAGAGUGGCCUUACUCUUUUUCUUCAUACUUUUUCUUCUCAUCUCUGGUUUGGUACUCAAGAAUCAAAGAACAAAUAAUGUUCUUGACAUUAUCAACCACUAACUCAAUGUCGGCACUGCCAAACUUGGCAGCAUAAAAUUCAAUGAUAUGGAGCUUAUACCUAGGAUCCAACACUACCGAAAUGACAAGAACAAUGUGGAUAUCGUCCCAAUAUUUGGUGAACUUGAGCCCCAUAUUACUAGCCAUUCCAGAAAUCAACGAAUUACUAUUAGCAAACCAUUGAAUCAGCUGGAGUCUAAGAUCACAAAUGCCUUUGAAAAACAAAUUAGCAGUCGGAUAUUUGCUACCAAAGAAAAACUUUAUCAAUUCAUCAAAAAUUCCCAAAUGGUCAACUACAAUUGCAGCAAAUUCCUAAUGAGCAUUAGAGGGAAUCAUGGUUUACUGAUUAUCUCUUUGCCUCAAACGGGAAAACACAUCUUUUUAAGGAAGAGCAACAUAUAGAAUUUCACACGUAGAGUUCCAUCUAGUUGGGAAAUAAGGGACAACUUUUCGGUCAAAAUCAACUCGAACUUGCUUAACAGUUUCAAAGAAGAUCUAAACCCGUUUAGGUGUAGAGUUCCAAUCCACUUGCUUAGGGAGAGUGUAGUACACUACACUCUCCCUAAGCAAGUGGAUUCCAUCCUUGAUUACAUCCAAACCAUCCCUCACAAUCAAAUUCAAUAUAUGAGCAGCACACCUCAUAUGAAUUAAUCUACCUUCCUACAACAUAUCAGAGACAACAAGUUUGUUUUUCAAUUGAUUUACAGUAGAAUCAUUGGUGGAACAGUUGUCCAAUGUGAUAGAGGACAACUUUCCAUGAAUAUUGCAAUCCAACAAUGAAUCAAAAAAAUGGUCAGCCAGGCUCUAACUGGUGUGAGGGGCUGGGACAUACAUAAACCUAAUCAUAAUACUGCGAAGCUUCCAAGCAUUAUCAAUAAAAUGUCCAGUCAUAGCCAUAUACUCCCUUUUCUGAUUAGAGGCAGUCAACAAAUCGGUAGUUACAAAAAUCCUACCAGAAUUACCAUCAAUUAUUCUCUGAAACUCAGGGUUCGGGAAGGCGCACCUAGGCGGCCGCCUAAGAGGAAAAGGCGGUGAGGCAGAGAGAAAACGCCGCGAUUAGUGCGAGGCGGAGUGAAUCAGGCGUUUCUGCGCGGAGGCGACGCCGAAUCGACGCGGAAUCGACGAGGCGACGCGGAAUCGGCGCCUAAUCGGGGAGGAUGCGGAAAAGGCGAGCAGCGUGGAUUUAAAAAAAAUUAAACCUAACCUAAAACGUGUACUUGGAAUCGGCGGUUAGUGCUUUCUCACACUCAUCUUCCUUCGAUCUCCGCUCUGUGCGUCGAUUCUGCCGGCUGUCGUCUCUCGCAACCUAACCUAAAGGUAAGUCUCACUCCUCCCUGCCGUCGAUUCAACGUCGAUUCCGCCGGCGGUCAUCUUCCUCUUUGUUCAUCGCUGGAAAUCAAAGUGACUGACAGUCCUCUUCCUCUGUGUACAUCGCUGGAAAUCAAGGUCGCUGGUGGUCCUCUUCCUUCUUGUACGUUGCUGGAAAUCAAGGUGGCCGGUGGUCCUCUUCCUCUGUGUACAUCGCUGGAAAUCAAGGUGACUACUUCACCCCUUCCUCUGUGUACAUCGUUGCUGGAAAUCGCUGGGAAUCGAUUUCUAAUAGCACCAUAUCGUGCUCUGCUCCUAACCCAACUUGGCCAAACUAUAGCCAACUAUCUACUGAACUUUUCAAUUCAUUUUUUGUUUUUGUAUAGUCAAGCGACCAUUUCCAUCCACAGCUUCUUAAAAGACAACAAAAUAGAAGAUACUAUUAAACCCAAAAUUGUCGAAUAGAAAUUGUAAUUGUCUAGACAACCCAUAUGAUCCAGCACCCCCAUGCCCUUGAUUUGAUGAUCACUACUUUGUGUACACAAUGGAAGAGGUGAGUGAGUAACUCAACUCCAUUACGAAUCUAAAUCUUAUCUCACAUUUUUCAUCAUUAUUAGGAAGGGAUUCAGUUUGGACCGUGAGUAAAAUGAUAACAGAAUCGUGUACAUCUUCCUCUGUGUAUAUUGCAUCAUAUUUUUCAAAUGCUUUUCAAAUGGAAGCUUUGUCCUAAUCCGAAUAACAUAUCUACUCUUGUUCCAUGAGCUGUAACACAAGUUAUUGUGAAGGACUGUGAGUCAGAAUUUUCAUGAGUUUGUGAAAUUUGGUGAUUGGUGAUGCAUGAUUGCCAUGGCAGAUUCAUCAGGAGUAGACGAUACACAAGUUGAUAGUAGUAGUACUAGUGGCCUGAAAAGAAGGCCGGGUGAUAUUGGGUGGAAAUACGGAAAAAUCGCUGAUCCGAGUAACAAAGACAAAGUCAAGUGCAACUUUUGUCAACAUGUUAGCAGUGGAGGUGUAAACCGUUUCAAGCAACACAUAGCUGGUAUUUGAUCUUCAGUGGCUAAAUGCACAAAAUGCCCCAAAGAAACUCGUGAUGAAUGUUUGGAAUACUUCUUGAGUUUUCAAAAAAAGAAGAAAGAGAAGCAUGAACGUGAACAAGUUCUGAGAGAGGAUGUUAAUGUUUCUUCUGAUGCACAACAUGAAGAGGAGAUGAGUUAUUUUGAUAGUUCGAGACCGACUAGCUUGGGUCCUAUGGAUAAGUGGACACGUCCUAUGGAUAAGUGGACACGUCUUAUAGAUCCUACUAUGACUUCUCUAAUAGCAACACACCAUCAACAGAAGAUAAACAAAGCUAUUCCAUUAAAUGCCAUUAACAAUGACGAUUCAGGCAAAUGUGUGAGGCCAUUGGUCAAUUCGGUCAUGUAUUGAAGCCUCCUUCUCCGUACGACCUUCGAGAGACUUUGUUGAGAGAAGAAUAUGCAAGAACGAAGGGUUUGUUAGCUGACCAUGAGAAAGAGAAGGAAAAGAACGGUUGCUCACUUAUGACUGAUGCUCGGACGGACAUGGAGAGGCGGAGGGUAAAGAAAAUAUUCAUAUAAUGAACAUAGUCACACACUAUGCUGAGGGAACUAGCUUCAUAAAGUCUAUAGACACUUCAAAUAUUUCUCACACAGGUGAGUUCCUUUUUGAGCUAGUUGACAAUGCCAUUGAGGAAGUUGGAGAUGAGCAUGUCAUUCAAGUUGUGACAGACAAUGCUUCCAACAACAUGGCAGCAAAGAAUCUCUUGGAGAAGAAGAGGCCACGCAUAUUUUGGAGUUCUUGUGCAACUCACACCAUCAAUUUAAUGCUCCAAGGAAUUGGCAACAUUCCAAAGUUCAAGAAAGUUAUUGAUGAGGCUAAGGCUUUCACCAUCUUCAUAUAUGGUCAUCAUCGAACUUUAGAGUUGAUGAGGUCCUUCACUAAGAGAAGAGAGAUCAUUCGACCAGGUGUAACACGAUUUGCUUCUCAGUUUCUUACUUUAAAAAGCUUGAUGGAAAAGAAAGAUGAAUUGAGGAAGAUGGUAGUGGAUUAAAAGUGGACUUCUAUUAACGAGACAAGUACAAAGAAAGGCCAAGAUUCUUAUGCCACAAUUCUUAGGAUGGUGUUUUGGAAUGGUGUGGAGAGUUGCUUGAAAUUCUUUGAGCCGUUGGUGAAACUGCUUCGGCUGGUCGAUGGGAAUGUGAAACCUUCGAUGGGUUUAGAUGAAUUGAGGAAGAUGGUAGUGGAUUCAAAGUGGACUUCUAUUAAUGAGACAAGUACAAAGAAAGGCCAAGAUGCUUAUGCCACAAUUCUUAGGAUGGGGUUUUGGAAUGGUGUGGAGAGUUGCUUGAAAGUCUUUGAGCCGUUGGUGAAACUGCUUCGGUUGGUCGAUGGAAAUGUGAAACCUUCAAUGGGUUUUGUGUAUGGAGAACUUCUAAAGGAAAAGAGAGAGCUAACGGAGGCAUUAAUUAGUGAGGAACUUCGCUGCAAAGAAGUCCUUGCUAUUAUGGACAAGAAGAUGAAAGGUAGACUUGAUACUCCCUUGCAUUUAAUAGCAUAUCUCUUGAAUCCUCACUAUAGAUGUGCCGACCCAUCAAUAUUAGAUAAUACCGAUGUUACAUCAUUGAUCACCACUGUUGAGAAAUUCUAUUAUGGUUAUGAUGAGGAUAUACACGAUGAGGCGGGGGGAGGUGUUUGUUGUCUAUUUUCUAAUAAAGGAGGCGUUAAUUAGUGAGGAACUUCGCUGCAAAGAAGUCAUUGCUAUUGUGGACAAGAAGAUGAAAGGUAGACUUGAUACUCCCUUGCAUUUAACAGCAUAUCUCUUGAAUCCUCACUAUAGCUAUGCCGACCCAUCAAUAUUCGAUAAUACCGAUGUUACCACAUCAUUGAUCACCACUGUUGAGAAAUUCUACUAUGGUUGUGAUGAGGAUAUACACGAUCAAGCGGUGAACGUUGAGUUCACCAUAUUUCAAAAGAAAGACGGACACUUUAGAAAGAAGUUAGCAAGAUUUUGUCAGAACUUUGAUUACAAUCCUGGUUAGUACUUCUUCCCUCAUUUCCUUAUCAUUUAUGAUUUAGUCUUAUGAGCUAAUUCAGAUUUAGUUGUCUUCUUAGUUGUUUGGUGGUGAAUGUAUGGAGGUGAGACACCACAUUUGCAGAGGAUGGCUAUAAGGAUAAUGUCAUUAACCUCAACUUCUUCUGCUUGUGAGAGAAAUUGGAGCACUUUUGAGUCGGUUAGUCUUCAAAUCUCUAUCUAAUGUCAUUGCUAUUGUGGAGAAGUGAAUAUUAGAUGCAAGGUCAUAGUUAAUUGUUUUUGUAGAUUCAUACUAAGAGAAGGAAUAGGCUUACAACAAAUCGCCUCAAUCCACUAGUAUACAUUUAAUUCAACUCCCGAUUGAUGUCCAAAAAAAGGAAGCUAAAGAAUAAGAAGAAUGUUGAUGUUCUCAUGAGCUCUGAUUCAGUUGAAGCUCAAGGAUUCAUAUAUGAGGGAGGAGACACGCACACAUUGCAUGUGUUUAGGGAUGAAGACGAUGGAGGACGCAACGACAUCCCAUGGAGUGUUAUUGAUGAUGCAAUUGGAGCUAGUGAGAGUCGUGAACCACGUAGGAGUGCAAGACUAGUGAGAGAGCUCCAUGAUGAAGAGUUUGAUUCCGAAGAAGAAGAAAAUAACGAGGAAAUAGAGCCGAUCGCUUUCGAGGAUGAUGAAGAAUAUUGACGACUUACCAAGCUAUGAGCUUGAUAUCGCCUUUAUGGCUUAUCUUAUGUCUUUAUGGUUUAUCUUAUGUGUGCAUUCUUCUAUGUUAGAACUUGAACAUUAGUUAUCUGUGAACUUUGCACUGUUAUGUUUGAACUUGUUUAUUUCACUUAAAUCUAUUACAUUUUUUCAAAACGCCUAAUCGGCCAAGGUUUAAGGCAGGACCUCACCGCCUUACUACCGCCUUACGCCUCCCAUAACCUUGCUGAAACUUAUCUCUUUUAGCACCAUACAAGGCCAAUAUGUCUCUUUUUACUGUAUUUCUACAAGGGACUGUGAAAAGAGGCUGCAAGGCACAACAAACCCGUUUGAAUCCCAAAUGCUCAACGAUGCUAAGAGGGUACUCAUAAACCAAUAUCAUGGAACAGAGCUCCUUCCUACACACCUCAACAUUGUAUUGGUUUACAAACAGCUUGAUAAUUAGGGCCUAGUAUUUUUGUUGACCGUCAUGCAUCUUUUUAUGGAGACAUGACUUGAGAUGAUUCCUUAAGUGUGAAGUUCCAUUGACAGUUUCUCCUCCUCAUAACUUCAUACAGUACUUGAACCUAGCUUUCAUUAACCCAUUAACCCUACCCCUGUCUAACUCGUGGUUCCGAAUCGUCCUCAUUAACCACAUUAACAUUCCCUACCAGAUCAGCUUCUUGGAGUGUUUCAUUCUGAAUAGUCAGUUCAUUAGGGUUGGAAGCAUUAACAUUAGAUUCCAGAUCAACAUUCAUUACACCUUCCAUCUGACAAGAAAAUGGUUGAGACAAUAGUUCAGUCGAGGAUUCUUAUUAGAUAGGGGGUUGAUAGAAUAGUUCAUAAGAGGAUUCAGAAUCUAAGAAGGUAAGUAUUAAUCAUUAUAAGAGAAAGGGGUUGAUAGGAUUAAUCAUUAGAGGAUUAAGCAUAUGAGAAGAAAGGGGUUGAAUGAAUUAUGCAUUAGAGGAUUAAGCAUUUGAGAAGAAAGGGGUUGAGCGGUUAAGUAUUAGAGGAUAAAGCAUUAGAGGAUAUUUCAUUAGGUUUAUAGUAUUGAGCAUUACAGGAUAGUUAAUUAGGUUUAGGGUCUUAGAAUUUUGAGAUCAGAGUUAUAAGAUAAGAAUAGUUAGUAAAAUAGGCUAGAUUACGUGUACAUGAUCAUAAGAGGAGAUCAUAGUACAAGCUAGAUCUCUUCUGCUCAUUGUCCACUAGUAAUCUAUAUUAUCUUACUUUGAUUUCAUCCCAUACCAUAGAUCAUUUAGCAUUAUGUUGAUGAUUUAAUUUUAGCAGAAGAAAAAGUCUAUACAACACUACAUGGCAGUUGUGACUUGUAAAAUUAUAACUAUUUCAGCAGUUUACAGAAUUUUAACAUUUGCAGCAGCCAGCAUAUUACCUAUACUUUCUAACCAGACAACUUUCAACAACAAACAAGCAACUAACAACACAUUUCGAGCAAACAAGACACAUGCAACUGCCAACAACAAAGAGGUAGUAGUUCUGAAAUAAAGGUGACCUCUAGUGAAUUGUUAAGUAGACACCUAGUUUAUUAAACCUGGAAUGAGUAUUGGAAGUUGCUAAUCGGCAAAGCCUGCAAAAAUAAUGAACACACCAUGGCAGGGUUCGGUAAUGCAUGCCUAGACUCUAGUACUUAUGAUCAACCAAAGCUUUAAAGCACAAAAUUGAACUAAAGCUUACUCUGUACUCUGUAGUGUACUUUGUAACUCUGAAUGUUUGAACGUGGUUCUGAGAAGCUCUGCAGCACUCCUAUAUAUAGCUCUAGAACAGGGGAUACCGGAUGUAUAAGACUCACUGUCAAAUACGAAAGUCGAAACCCUAAUUACUAAUUAAUUAUAAAAUCUCAAAAGUUUUAAAAAAGGGAAAGGAGUAUGGAUGCUUAUCUGUAUACUGCAAUCAAAGAAUCCAGUACAUGCUUCUGUCGAAGAAGCCUAACAGACUCUGGCAAAAAUUGACGAAAAACUCCACCGAUUCCAACACCCAUAGCCAUACGAUUAGAUGGAUUCAUGAAUAGAAUAAUGAAUAUGGGGAGAAAUCGAUAUUUUGGUUGAGGAUUUCACUCCAGACCCGCGAGAUUUGAGGGUAAGUCGCCAAUCUAGGUAUGGGAAUCGAGAGAGAAUCGACGAAGGGUGGAGGUGAGAAGUGAGAAAUUAGGAGAAAAAGCUAGGGUUUUCUGAGUUA